This is a non-coding RNA of Schizosaccharomyces pombe (fission yeast), 481 nucleotides long. Lineage: Eukaryota; Fungi; Ascomycota; Schizosaccharomycetes; Schizosaccharomycetales; Schizosaccharomycetaceae. The record is from the annotation of a GenBank genome assembly.
UUGAGGACUUUAAAAAUUCCAAAAUGUAUGAUUAUGCAUUUUUCAAGGAUUAUUUACUUUCCUAAUUCCAAUAUAUUCUGUACAAAGUAUUCCUUACCUUUUAACUCAGCAGGUGCCGUAAAUUAGGUCGACGAAACACUGUAGCUCGAUCCGUCAUAUCCAAAUCAAACAAAAAUCAAGUUACUUGCUUAGAUUUCACAACACUUCGUAGUUAAUUACGCAACUCUUCUUUUACAAUAAUCUAGUUUAACAAAUUUGAACUAAUUGAUAGUCAAUAUUGGACAUCUUAUUGAAGAACAAAUCAUAAACCCAUAGUUUCUAUAUCAGAAGCCACAGACAUUAAUGCACCAAUGCGCAUAAAUGAAAAAUAUCUAGGAAGUAAAGAUAUAGAUGCAUCACAACUCCAAAAUUAACAAUUUGUAACAAAAAGUAAUAGACGAAGAACAAAAGAGAUCACACCAUAUGCAUAUGCAUAACCAAU